CUGCUACCAAUACAUAAUCCUCAUGAAGACAGACAGCACACGGCAAAACAUCAGGUCCAGAGUAAUCGAACUGAAUCAGUGUAGAGAGUGGGAGACAAGAGCUGGUACUGAACUUCACGACACUGACAACCGUCAUCGCCUAUCCAACCAGCGUCUCAUUCCAGGGAACUGGUUGGCACACAUGGCGAGCACCUAACAGCAGGACCGUGGCUGCCACAGGCCAAGGGGGAGGCUGCCUCAGGAGAUGUGGAGACCAGCUCGUAUCCUCAGCUGGACCUACUUGGACAGCUGGGGAGAGCACCAAGACCUCCUAAUGAGGCUGUGGAACACAGUCAUGACAACAAGCCUUGGAGCCCAUUUCUAAUCCCAGGAUCUCUCCAGAAGACUCUGCAAUGAGCGCUUCCUCCAUGCCCUCACUUCCCAGUCC
Molecule: long non-coding RNA, 427 nt
Filed under: Homo sapiens (human)
Lineage: Eukaryota; Metazoa; Chordata; Mammalia; Primates; Hominidae
Description: HSALNT0141287
Source: RNAcentral